UAUACAGGGAACACUGAAGAUUGCGAUGACAUGGUAGAUGCUUUUACAACAGACAACAUUGUUCCUGACCCAGAUGACUGUGUUUACCAGAAUAUACCAGAAAGUACUCACACGCUGGUGCCAAAGCCUGAUUGCAGGCAUUGCGGCGCAAAGAGGUUCCAGUAUGAGACAAAUGGAUUUUGUUGUCAGUCUGGAAAAAUUAAGUUAGCACAGUCAGAACCACCCUUGGAACUUCAGAUGAUGUACACAAGUUCAGAUAGUGAUGCUGUACAUUUUAGGGAUAACAUUCGCUACUUCAAUGGCCACUUUUCAUUCACCACCCUUGGCGCUAGUCUUGACAAUAGAUACACAAACAUGAGGUCAGGAGUCUAUACAUUCCGAGCCCAUGGUCAGAUUUAC
This 399-nucleotide ribosomal RNA is filed under the name Triticum aestivum (bread wheat). RNAcentral describes it as "partial small subunit ribosomal RNA". The record is from RNAcentral. Lineage: Eukaryota; Viridiplantae; Streptophyta; Magnoliopsida; Poales; Poaceae.